RNAcentral lists this ribosomal RNA (440 nucleotides) under uncultured bacterium. RNAcentral describes it as "partial 16S ribosomal RNA". It matches the Rfam family "Bacterial small subunit ribosomal RNA", at positions 338 to 795 of the family's 1533-position model. The record is from RNAcentral.
CCUACGGGUGGCAGCAGUAGGGAAUAUUGCUCAAUGGGGGAAACUCUGAUGCAGCAACGCCGCGUGGAGGAUGACGGUUUUCGGAUUGUAAAGCUCUUUUGUUAGGGCAGAAAAUUACGGUAUCUAACUCAUCAGCACCGGCUAACACAGUGCCAGCAACCGCGGUAAUACGGAGGGUGCAAGCGUUAUACGGAAUGACUGGGUGUAAAGUGGGCGUAGUCGGUAUAGCAAGUCAGAUGUGAAAGCCUUCGGCUGAACCGUAGAACUGCAUUUGAAACUGUUAUUCUAGAGUAUGGGAGAGGGAAGUGGAAGUCGUGGGGUAGGGGUGAAAUGCGUAGAGAUCAGGAAGAACACCAGUGGCGAAGGCGACCUGCUGGAACGUAACUGACGCUGAGGCUCGAAAGCGUGGGGAGCAAACAGGAUUAGAUACCCGAGUAGUC